Lolium perenne is the source of this 1791-nucleotide non-coding RNA. The record is from RefSeq and is a predicted model, not a curated record. Lineage: Eukaryota; Viridiplantae; Streptophyta; Magnoliopsida; Poales; Poaceae.
GACGAACGGCCUGGAUAGUGGACGGCCCGCUCCCAAACGAAUCGCACCCGCCUGCGCCGCCUUGUCUUCUCCAGCGUCGGAUCUCCCACGCGCCGCCCUCCUCACCGCAGCCUCCAUUACCCGCCACCACCUUCCUUCCCUCACUCCCUCUGCGCGCUAUAUAAGGACCACCGGAUGUCGGACGCGCCGGCGAGCCCCCCGGGCGUCGGGAGCGACGACGGCGGCGGGGGCGGCUUCGGCGGCGUCAGGGAGCAGGACAGGUUCCUGCCCAUCGCCAACAUCAGCCGCAUCAUGAAGAAGGCCAUCCCGGCCAACGGCAAGAUUGCCAAGGACGCCAAGGAGACCGUGCAGGAGUGCGUCUCCGAGUUCAUAUCCUUCAUCACCAGCGAGGCCAGCGACAAGUGCCAGAGGGAGAAACGCAAGACCAUCAACGGCGACGACCUGCUUUGGGCGAUGGCCACGCUGGGGUUCGAGGAGUACAUCGAACCCCUCAAGGUCUAUCUGCACAAGUUCAGAGAGGUGCGCACUUACCUCGUUAUCCAGGGUGUUCUGCUAACCAAAAAAAAAAUUGAGCUAUUCUCAAAUGAUUGGGGCUGGAUUAGUGCUUUGGAAGUUGGGUAGGACCAUUGCCGAUUUUGUCUGCUGUCACUUCAGACUUAAUUGGCUUAGAAUAACUUUGUUCAGCUUGGUGGUAAGUAGUAACAGCCUAACAGGUAAGGACCCAUACUGCUAGGUACCAAUCAAUGGCUUCCUGUGUUGCAAAGAGCUGCUUGUGCUUAAAGCCUGUGCUGCUCUAUCCUUCCAAUUACUGUAAUUCAGAUGUUUUAUAGUAUGUUUUUUUUAAUUCAGAAUAGUAAAUGAUUUGAAUCACUAAGAAUUAUUUCAGGCCAUUAAUCAAAUGAAGUCAUUUAUUUCACUGGGACAUGCAUACAUCCACUACUUUCUCUUGUCCAGGGCCCAACUAUUUGACCACUGAAACCAAUUUAAUAGAUGUAGAACAUAAUUUAUGUAAAGGCGUGCACAUUAUAUACUAGAACCUCACAUUUGUAAGAAAAGUUUAGAGCUUAUAAAAAGAAUAUUAUCUUUGUAUAAGAAGUUGAGGCUAUGCAUCCUACUUUGAGGCAAUAAGUCAUCCAUGAUCUAGCUUAAAAAAUAAAUACCUGAUGUGCAUUCAAUACUUGUUAGCAGCUUAGAGUUUAUUUAUGAUCAUUGGUCAGUGUAUACUUUUUAUCUCGAUUUUUUACUCUACUUUAUCCAACUGAAAUGCCUUCUCUUGUUUAUCUUCUGUUUGGUGGAUGGCUACUUCUGAUUGCAGAUGGAGGGUGAUAGUAAGGUAACAUCGAAGGAUGGCUCUGUUAAAAAGGAUGUACUUGGUCAUGGAGGAACAACUAGCUCAACUGUGCAAGGGUACCAUAAUGGGGACAUCCCAAACUGAAGAUAGUGGACCUUCUCGGUGGCUGCUUUGCUGGUCUGUAAGGUUGGUUUUCAUCGGUCUCGCUGAUAUGCAACUCUUGGAGAACACUGGGCAGUUAAGGAACUUACUACCCCCAUUAGGCUCGUGUUCGUCUGCCAGAACUGAUGCUCCGAAUUGCCAAAGCUGCUUCCCAGAUGUAAAUUGCUUUUUCCUGAGAAUAGAGUCAGUUGUGGUUUAGCAUCGAUGUUGUCUGUUGUAUAUUUAUGACAAUUUAACAAUUUGGCCUCUUGGCUGUCAUUUGGUUCCAUAUUAUGGAGUAAUCUGUAUUUGGGGAGUGGUAAAUCCAGAUACAUUUGUCCUAAAUUAGUUUUAUCAAA